CAGCCGCCACGGGAAUACGUAGGUGGCAAGCGUUAUCCGGAAUUAUUGGGCGUAAAGCGCGCGUAGGCGGUUUCUUAAGUCUGAUGUGAAAGCCCACGGCUCAACCGUGGAGGGUCAUUGGAAACUGGGAAACUUGAGUGCAGAAGAGGAAAGUGGAAUUCCAUGUGUAGCGGUGAAAUGCGCAGAGAUAUGGAGGAACACCAGUGGCGAAGGCGACUUUCUGGUCUGUAACUGACGCUGAUGUGCGAAAGCGUGGGGAUCAAACAGGAUUAGAUACCCCCGUAGUCCCUGUCUCUUAUAC
RNAcentral lists this ribosomal RNA (301 nucleotides) under uncultured bacterium. RNAcentral's name for it is "partial 16S ribosomal RNA". It matches the Rfam family "Bacterial small subunit ribosomal RNA", at positions 509 to 807 of the family's 1533-position model. The record is from RNAcentral.